AAUAUAAAACUGUCACUGAAGUCAGUAUCUGUAUCUGUAUUUCCCACUUCUGAAUAUGGAUGGGUAUGUCAUUGAUUCAUUUUGGCUAUUGUGUGAUUGGUGGGUCUGUGUAUAAAUAAGUCGUGCUUGCUGAGGUGUGCUCAUUUAAACCCAGUGGUUCAGGAUGUUUUGUAAGAUACACCAUAUCGCUAAUCCUGGCUGAGCCGGCUGCUUGAACUUUUGAUGCAUAUAACAAUCAGUUUUCCAUGGUGGCGUCAUAUAUUUUGUUUUAUGACGUCAAAAUUUUACGGGAACCUGUGUGAUAUCUAUUAAUGGCAGACAAAUAGCGAUAAGGUUUAUAAAACUAAUCCAGUAAUACAUCCCCCAACAAUGUGACUGACAUGAGAGAUUUCCUUUGUACUUUAUAACUACUUUCAUGAAUUCAUAAAUUAUAAUGAAAAAAUGAGAAGUUCUCUUCUUGGAAAAGUAUACUGUUACACGUAGUAUAUUAUGUCGGUUGGUUGAUUUUGUUGGUAGCUAAAUUUCAAGUGGCAAAUAUUUCAUUCCUGUUCGCAUAUAAAGUAUUUUUUCGAACG
RNAcentral lists this long non-coding RNA (575 nucleotides) under Mytilus galloprovincialis (Mediterranean mussel). Lineage: Eukaryota; Metazoa; Mollusca; Bivalvia; Mytilida; Mytilidae. The record is from RNAcentral.